UACAGAGGUCCCGAGCGUUGUUCGGAUUCAUUGGGCGUAAAGGGUGCGUAGGCGGCCUGGCAAGUCGGGUGUGAAAUCCCGGGGCUCAACCCCGGAACUGCACUCGAUACUGCCUGGCUAGGGUACUGGAGAGGAGACUGGAAUUUACGGUGUAGCAGUGAAAUGCGUAGAUAUCGUAAGGAAGACCAGUGGCGAAGGCGAGUCUCUGGACAGUUACCGACGCUGAGGCACGAAGGUCAGGGGAGCAAACGGG
RNAcentral lists this ribosomal RNA (253 nucleotides) under uncultured bacterium. RNAcentral's name for it is "partial 16S ribosomal RNA". It matches the Rfam family "Bacterial small subunit ribosomal RNA", at positions 524 to 776 of the family's 1533-position model. The record is from RNAcentral.